RNAcentral lists this unclassified non-coding RNA (2105 nucleotides) under Hevea brasiliensis (rubber tree). Lineage: Eukaryota; Viridiplantae; Streptophyta; Magnoliopsida; Malpighiales; Euphorbiaceae. The record is from RNAcentral.
GGGGAGAGGGGGAGGAGUUAAAAAUUAUUGAAAAAUCAUAAACCAGGGUUCAUAAUUGUGCCUCUUAUCAUAAAAAAAAAAUUAUCCAAAAUUUCAAAAAAAUAUUAACUUUUCCCCCUUGUCUUCUUUAUACUAAUUGGAAAGCAGUGAUUGCUCAUGCUUUUGGCAAGAAUGGUGCAUUGCCUUUAAACAAUUCAGAAUUCAGAUCAAGUGAAACAGCUAUCUCAAUUUCAUGGUACAAUCAAUCAGUCACAACAUCAGAAAUUAUUUGUCAAAUGUUUCAUAAAAUUGAUAUCUACCAGAUAUAUCUCAUCUGCAUCAUAUACUACAGCACUGAACUUUAGUAUCUAGUACCAAAAUCACUUCCACAGAUCCAAAAUGAUAAAUUGGUAAAUUCUUUCUUUAAUUAAUGAAGGCAAACUCAGAAUACAAACUUCAACUGCAUCCUCUUAUUCAUCACAGUUUCCAUCUUAGACCAUUUACCACAUAGGUGUUGAAAGUUGCUGUCAACAAUAUGAAGACUGGGUGGUUUAUACAUUCCUUAGUUCAGGCCAUACUUAAUGUUAAAAGCAUACAAGAAAGCAAAUCACAAAGAGAAUGAAAUUAAAAUGAACAUAUUCCAUUUUAAAAAACUACAAAUUAAGAAACAUAACAAUUCAAUGGCAAACAAUGAGCUCCAAAGAAAAGCAAUAAACAAGAAUUCCUCCACUUACAUCUUAUUCCUCAAUCAUUUAUCAAAAAUUGCAAAACCAAUUAAGGGAAAAAAAAAAAGGACUCAAAUCCAAUAUAAUGGGUUUGGCUUACUAAUACUACAUAUUUCUUCAAUAAUUUUAUCCACAAAAUCUUAACAAUACAAUUAUUAUUAUUUUUUUUUUUUGAAGAAAUAAAUCCACAUUCAUCAUUUCUCCAUCAUUAAAAUUAUUUGCAGUUUUCAAAAGAAAAAAAAUUACCCAAAUGCUAAAAGUUUGACAAUUCUUGUCUUUAGUUUUGUCAGAAGUCAAACAAAGCCUUAGUUUCAUUUCCCAUAUUCUCCAUGCUAGCUCAGCAACCAAACAAAAGAUAAAUAUAUAAAUAAAAACUCAAACAGAAACAGAAACAGAAACAAACCUUCAUGCAAAGAAAAACCUGGUCUUGCCUCUGAAACUCAGCAAGAACAGCGACAAGAUCAGACUUGAGCAAGCGAGAAACAUGGGAUUUCAUGAAUCGAUCAAGCCGGAGAGGGUCUGAUUGGAGUCGCUUGAGCUCCUUGGCCACAAUUAACCCUUCUUUGCCCAUCUCUUUCUUCCGCCUCCAUAUAGACAAGCUAGGCUUGGAAGCCAAAUUUGAAAUGUGUUGCAAAAGAACAAGCAACUGAAGUUGCUGCUGCUUUUGGUGUUUUAUGGAAGUGAUUUUAGAAAACUGAUGGGUCAGGAAAGGAAGGUUUUUGAGAGGGGAAUGGGAGAGUGAAGGUGUUUUAGAUGAUGAUGUUCUCCAAAGAAAAUUUGAAGCAAUACGCCACAUAGAACCGGGAAGCCUAGCCCUCUACUAUAAAAUGUUCUUCUACCUCCUUCCCAAGGAAGGAAAGCAACAAGUAUGGAUCUCAAUUUAUCAAGUGCAGAACUAUAAGAAACAAAUGGGGUUCAGCAAUUCAACCUCUACCUCAAAGAUAUUGGAAUAAAUUCAAUUCCAUCACAUUGCUAUUGGAGCUUAUCAAUUUUCCAGUCCUAGCCAUUAACAAGAUCCAUAAUUUUGGUACCUCAGUUUCACAUUUUUUUUUCCUUCAUAAUACCAAGUUAAACCAAAUAAAAACAGAAAGAUAUAAGGCAAGAAAGGAGAUACAUGCAGCGGUGCAAGGUAGAUGCUGUGAACAGUAUGGACUGUGGAGACUGCCUGCAUCAAUGAGAAGAUUUUAACUUGAACUACUGGCAAUCGACAGAGGUGAUCGAUAGAGGGAAUCAAUUGGAGGCAGAAAGAACAGAGACGGACUGGAGGCCGAGAGAGGUGGUGGAUACUGGCGAGGUUAGUGGUGGCCAGAAGGACUGAAGGAGAGGAAGUCAGGAUGAAGGAGAGAACCUAGAGAGACUGAGUCUGAGAGGGUGAGAAAGGGGCAAUAGGGCAUACAGCAG